UGAAGCUGGGACAAAGUAUUGCGACCAAGGAUCACUGGAUCUGCCGGCGGACAGUGCGGCUGCAACUUUCCUGCCAGCUGAUGAACCGUCGGUGGCGUUCGUAAGCGUAGAGGCACAUAUUUGUAAGGUACGGGCCGCCGUGUUGGGGAGACGAGAGAGCUCACCCAGCUGUCUGAACUGUGACCGGGAACAUGAAACCCGCAGGCGUCGAGAUGGUCUAAAAGUUUUGCAGUUGAGAUGGAGGUAGCAUCCCGUGCACUUGCUUUGAAUGUCAGUGUGGGUUUUGUUCACCAGGUUAUUGACAUCUCUGACGAUGAAAGCAACGAUGAAGUUGGAUAUGGAAGAAUGGUCUGAUGAUCCUGAGCAGGCAAAGCUGGUUGAGACGACAAAAAGAUGAGGGAGCAAGAGCAGAAAGAUGCAAAUGUCACGAAGAUGCAUCAAGAAAUGUACUAUCAAAAUAAAAGUCCACGAGAAGAAGAUCGUGAGGUCACAAUGAUGAUUCAAAAACUGUAUGA
RNA transcript from Triticum aestivum (bread wheat), 515 nucleotides. RefSeq lists it as uncharacterized. The transcript is spliced from 2 exons. NCBI's taxonomy places the organism in Eukaryota, Viridiplantae, Streptophyta, Magnoliopsida, Poales, Poaceae. The record is from RefSeq and is a predicted model, not a curated record.